Molecule: ribosomal RNA, 663 nt
Filed under: uncultured fungus
Lineage: Eukaryota; Fungi
Description: eukaryotic LSU rRNA
Rfam family: 5.8S ribosomal RNA (bases 214-367)
Source: RNAcentral
UCCGUAGGUGAACCUGCGGAAGGAUCAUUAACAAAUCAGUUAUAUGGCGAAAGCCAUAUAUAUUCACCCUAAGCCUGGGAUUGUACAUUGUACAGGACCGGGCUUUGGUUGGGCUACAUCCCUUGUGGAUGUGGCUCCGGCAAGUACGCUUCGGCGCACUGGCCACAUAGACGCUUGUAUUGUUUGACAGAGUAAUUAUUGCUUAAAAAUGACAACUUUUAACAAUGGAUCUCUUGGCUCUUGCAACGAUGAAGAACGCAGUGAAAUGCGAAAAGUAAUGCGAUUUGCAUGAAUCUGUGAGUCAUCAAGUCUUUGAACGCACCUUGCACCGUAUGAGUAAUCGUACGGUAUACCUGUUUGAGAAUCGUAAAACUCUCUUUCCAUCUUUUUGAUGGGAGACUUGUCGGUUGUGCCCCUCGGGGUACUCUGAUUAAAUGCAGUAGGUCUGGAUCAGGCUAGUGGCCUGGGACACUGUGUGUUAGAGACGUCGCGUUAGCUGACUGUCUUCUCAUAGUGCGUCCUGGGCUAUUAAAGCUGGCAUGGUCAAAGCCUCUACAGGUCGGGGUGGCAUACUUGGGUAUGUGGCUGGACAACCCCCCUUUUUGAUCUCAAAUCAGGGGUAAGGGGCUACCCGGCUGGAACUUAAGCAUAUCAAUAAGCGGA